Molecule: ribosomal RNA, 273 nt
Filed under: uncultured bacterium
Lineage: Bacteria
Description: partial 16S ribosomal RNA
Rfam family: Bacterial small subunit ribosomal RNA
Source: RNAcentral
UACUGCGGGUGCAAGCGUUACUCGGAAUCACUGGGCGUAAAGGAUGCGUAGGCUGGAAAUCCAGUCGAGAGUGAAAUCCAACGGCUCAACCGUUGAACUGCUCUCGAAACUGGUUACCUAGAAUAUGGGAGAGGUAGAUGGAAUUAGUGGUGUAGGGGUAAAAUCCGUAGAUAUCACUAGGAAUACCGAUUGCGAAGGCGAUCUAAUGGAACAUUAUGGAAGCUGAGGCAUGACCGCGUGGGGAGCCCACAGGAUUAGAUACCACUGUAGUCC